Molecule: long non-coding RNA, 284 nt
Filed under: Vigna radiata
Lineage: Eukaryota; Viridiplantae; Streptophyta; Magnoliopsida; Fabales; Fabaceae
Description: long non-coding RNA (VRAD_LNC007043)
Source: RNAcentral
AAGAAAAGAGAGCACAAAAAGAAUUUGAAAAACCAACGAGAGAGAGCAGAAACGCGAGAGAAAGAUCAUAACGUGAAAAAAAUUUAGGUUUUUUACUGUAGAGAUUAGAAUUAAAAUUAAUCUAUAAAUUAAAUUUUACAUAAGGAUAUAAUAGAAAUAUAAAAAAAAAAUAAAAAAAAAAUAAAAAAAGAAAGAAUAAAAGUGAGAUGGGGAAGUGAAGGUCCAAAGAGGUAAAGGUACAGGAAUUAACACCCAAAUUUGAAAGAAGUAGAAGUCCACAGACC